This 60-nucleotide non-coding RNA is filed under the name unclassified sequences. Its description in RNAcentral is "terC RNA". It matches the Rfam family "terC RNA". The record is from RNAcentral.
AAUGCGGGCCGGGCCCCUCUGGCGACACGCGCAAGCGGUCGUGAUGUCCGGACCGCAUCG